This 1079-nucleotide long non-coding RNA is filed under the name Ovis aries (sheep). RNAcentral's name for it is "lncRNA (ENSOARG00000026080.1)". Lineage: Eukaryota; Metazoa; Chordata; Mammalia; Artiodactyla; Bovidae. The record is from RNAcentral.
AUGGAGGUCACGGCCGGAGCAGGCAGACUGGCCCUGGGCCGGGGUGGGCCGCUUCCGUGUGGGCUGGGGGGCGGGGAGCAGUCGCCACUGCUGCCCAGCACCAGGCACCCAGUGGCACGUCCCAGCCGUGCUGGGCAGGGCGGCUCGCACAGGCCGGCUCGGGCCAGCGCCCAGGGGGAGCCAGCUGCGCCCCCGCCCCCAGCAGAUGUGAGUCGGAAGUGGGGAGGGCCGGGCGCAGGGGUGCUGGUGACGGGGCCCUUCCUGUGGCGGUACAGGUGUACAUGCAAGAACAUGUGGGGGUGUGCUGGCGUGAGGGCGGGCCACACGUGUGCACGCCUGCCCACGCCGUGGAGGGUCCACUGGCUGAACCAUGUGGCCAGGGAGCAGCAGCUUGGUGACUGCUGACCCUGAGGCCCUACAGGGCUCCUGGGCAGGAGGGGACCUGAGGCUGCCUUGGCCGCCCCCUCUGCCCCCACCCUUCUUCCCCACACAUGGCUGGCAAUGUCCUUCUCUGUGCCCCUGGGUCUUAGGUCUGAGGCUGCCCUCACGGAUGCCCCUGCUGGUCGUGACCUAACAGAGCCCCCACCCCACGUGUCUCCUGAUGUCGGGGGUCUCCGGGUGGGGCCUGGCUGGGCUCUACAGGAAGGCAGUACCUGGGUGUCCAUCUCCACGUGACCUGGGGACACCGUGCCGGAGGGGCAGCCCCCAGGAGACCGCCCUGACUGUGGGGCUGAGAUGACAGUGGCUUUGCCUUAAAACUGGAAUCCUGGGCCUCCCGCUCAGAGGGACACACAGACAAGGAGACGGACAGACGGGCAGCUGGCGACAGGCAGAAGCUGCUGAGAAUUGGCGGAAGUUGGGCGGGUGGCCGGCGGGGGGCCCGACAGGUCCUGGAAAUCCUCGCUUCCUGUUUUCCCAACAAAGGGCCUCUGUCUCCGGGAGGCCGCUGGCCAGCAUCAGCGGACGUGCCUUUUCCGUAAACAGAGUUGUUUUCUCUCUCCUCUUGGCACAGUAACAGCGGGUUCCAAGCCCCUCAACCCCGUCCCCGAGCACGACCAGCCACAGGGGCCCGGUACGGA